UUGCACCUAAACUCCUAUUCUGGAUACAUACUUGGGAAAGAAACUUGGACAGUGCCAGUCCAAGAUGGUUGUAACUACCAGUGGCAUGGAACUGCAAAGGUUGUAUACAGAAGAUAGCACGGAGUUCCAUGUGUACAUAGAUGCAUUCUGUUGUUGCCAUUUCUGCAUGACCUACCUCACUCACACAGGAUCUAACCAGCACGAUUUCUUCUCCUGAAUUUGGAUGAAUUCUAGUACAUGGGCAAGAUCAGGUUGUAGACUUCUAAGACUGAAGGCCAUGACCUGUAUCAUGGUGAGCUCACCAAACCAAAUAGUGCUCAAGUGAUGAUCCUGCAGCAACCAACCUGUGCUAUUGUUUGUUGAUACCAAGUCCUUGCUGUAUAAUUUAAUAUUUCAUAAAUCCAUUAAGUUCCCAAUAAAUUUUGUGUCUCAUUGCUCUGUUAGAUGUAUAUGACUAUUUUCUAGUUAAAUGUGAAUUUUAAGGAAAUAUUUCUUAAUGUCUCCAAAUAUCAAAUAGUACAAAAAUUAGUCUCAAGCCAGGGAUACAGCUCAGUGGCACAGUACCUACCUGGCAAGUUCGAGGUCCUGGGUUCAAUUUCAGGUUCUAAAAACAAAACAAAACAAAAAUUUAGUAUCAAAAUAUGACUUUUCUACAAAUGACCACUUACUCAUUCACUGUAGUGUGAAUAUAUAAGGAAAGGUAGAGAUAAAUAAAUUCUUAAAAAAGGAAUUAAAUUUCCCAUACAUUUUGUUUAAUUCACUUUAAUUUUUCUAUGUUCUCUAUAUCCUAUUAUAUUCAUCUUCAUUUCAAUUUACAUUUUAAUGAUUUAGAUAGUUUGA
Chinchilla lanigera (long-tailed chinchilla) is the source of this 840-nucleotide long non-coding RNA. RefSeq lists it as uncharacterized. Lineage: Eukaryota; Metazoa; Chordata; Mammalia; Rodentia; Chinchillidae. The transcript is spliced from 3 exons. The record is from RefSeq and is a predicted model, not a curated record.